Long non-coding RNA from Daphnia pulicaria, 484 nucleotides. RefSeq lists it as uncharacterized. The record is from RefSeq and is a predicted model, not a curated record. NCBI's taxonomy places the organism in Eukaryota, Metazoa, Arthropoda, Branchiopoda, Diplostraca, Daphniidae. The transcript is spliced from 3 exons.
UGUAGCCAAUAGCCAUUGUGACAAAAUUUUAUUGACAAGUUAAAUUUAACGUGGACUUAACUAACUAACUUUUGCCCUUGAUGAACAAGUGAUGAUGAUGAGGAUUUCGAUAUUGUCAUUCGCAAUUGGCUGCUCGUACAACCCAGUCAUGUGCAGAAAUCGCAUCAGCCGCUGAUUGACAUGAUCCUGGCGAUGUCUCGUGUCAGCCACGUGGUGAGUUGAAAAAACGAUGGAUCCUGUUAACUGCUGGGGCCUGCUGCUGUUUCUUCUUACCAAGGUGGUGGCGAAGCAAUCUAAAAAGCGUUGAUGGCCCGCCAGGAGAAAACUUGUUAUGGGAUGGCAGUUGCGGCACACACACAUGGGCGCUGGAGCAGCCACACACUCACACACACACGCUGUCGGACCACAAGGACCAAAAGGAGUUCAUGGUCAGUUGGAGCUGUUUACGUUGUUGCUAUUUGGUGUACAGUGGUUUUGCAGUCCC